This 1508-nucleotide long non-coding RNA is filed under the name Felis catus (domestic cat). RNAcentral describes it as "lncRNA (ENSFCAG00000045045.2)". The record is from RNAcentral. Lineage: Eukaryota; Metazoa; Chordata; Mammalia; Carnivora; Felidae.
CGAGAGACAACGGACCACACGGCUGGAGCCCGACUCCGGCUCCCUGGCACGUCAGACUCACAAACACGGUUCUGUGACACGCAACAUACGCGGUGAGAGGGUCGAGUUGUCACCGAAGUCGGGUGACAUGAUGCAGUCACGAUGCGGUAGCCUGUGGAGGACGGUCGCGCUCGUAAUAACUCUGUGCACAAAACCCCGGCCAGGCGCGCUUGAACACCUGCUUUGGCCCAAUGAGAACUGAGCACCAAGCAGCCCUGGAAGAGCCCCCUGCCCCCCCCUCCCCGGCUCCGUGGCCCCUGGGCGCCCCCAGCUCGGGGAGGAGCCCCUGCGGCCCGUCCUCCGCCGAGUCCCGCACACCUCCCGCCGUCAGGACCACCGCAGCCUCGGCGCCCGGCUCGUCCGUUCCAGCAGCAGCGAAACCUUCCGGGCGGUCGAGACCCCGCGUGGCGGAGGCAGCGGGCACCCUGGCCCUCGCGGCUCAGAAGCACAGGUGCACGAGGCAGAGUCCGCGCUCCUGGCGGAGGACCGUGAGCACACCGCCCUGCCCUGCGUGCGGAAGUCUCGAGAAAGCACGUAGGUCUGUCGACUCAGAGAAAGAGGCCGUGACCGUGAGAUGAGCGGACACCCAGGUCCUCGCGAUCUCGUCUCGGCCGGAACCGACCUGGCUGUCACCAGCACACAAGGGGUGAUGUCAAGGCUGGGGACCCGGAGGGAAGCCCAGGGAAACCAUUCUGGAGGCGCUUUGUCUCCUUUGUACUUUUUCAGGGGCCCGGCCGCGUGCGUGUGUCGCCUCCGAAAGGAAACUUGCAUCUGUGGAUUCCACGCGGUCCACGAACCCACAGCCCUGGGCAGCAGCACACAUUUGCCUGAAAUCCCGGCAGGCGCUUCGGCCGCGGGCAGAUUCCCUCCUUCCGUUUUGUGUGUUUUCCAAAGUUCCUAUGGCAGCACAGCGUCCUCUGAGCACCACUUUGCAGGGCCCUGUGUGCAUGCUGUUCCACCCGCUGCAGACUCGACGGCAGGGCGCUCACUGCAGUCCAGUCCCAGUGGUUCCGGUUCCCAUUAGACACUAUUCUGUGACCCAUGCAUCCUUCGCAAGUUCACAUUUUACUUCCCAGGUUGACUCCAAGGAGGACUUUCCUCAGACGUGUGACAUUACAGCACAGAGUUCUCCGUCAGUGCCUCUGUGCAGCCUGAGAAGACGCUCAGUGACCCCAGGGACCAGGCGGCCCAGGCAGACUCCGUGGGGCAGAGGAAGCUCGGAAUGGACCCGCCCCGAGGAGCCCCUCUUCGUCCAUCGGUCUCGUUGAGGCUCCAGCCACGUGGCUCGGACGCACAUGUGAGCCUAGGGGACCCCUCCGGCACAAGUACAGGUCACGAUGAGACUCAGGAAAGCAUUCAGGGGGUCUCCGAUACAUCUGUCCCCCUCACAGAGUCACACUCUCCCUCUUCACUAGCCGGCGAAGGGUUCAAAAGGCAAGUCAAUAAUGUGGGGAGACUGGAAUGUGGAG